GGCGUGUUGGACUGACGAUAACUUCAAAACCGUCUGUGACCUGCGUGCCAGGUUGGGUGGGUUCGAUUCCCACGCGGUCCCGCCA
Molecule: transfer RNA, 85 nt
Filed under: Bacillus sp. DNRA2
Lineage: Bacteria; Bacillati; Bacillota; Bacilli; Caryophanales; Bacillaceae
Description: tRNA-OTHER
Source: RNAcentral